UGAGAAGAAUAGGGACACGAGAAAAAGAGGUGGUCUCGCGUCUCCAGUUCCUCGUCGCAGAAAACAU
This 67-nucleotide small RNA is filed under the name Arabidopsis thaliana (thale cress). RNAcentral describes it as "ATSL156180". Lineage: Eukaryota; Viridiplantae; Streptophyta; Magnoliopsida; Brassicales; Brassicaceae. The record is from RNAcentral.